Long non-coding RNA from Liolophura sinensis, 1488 nucleotides. RefSeq lists it as uncharacterized. The record is from RefSeq and is a predicted model, not a curated record. Lineage: Eukaryota; Metazoa; Mollusca; Polyplacophora; Chitonida; Chitonidae. The transcript is spliced from 5 exons.
AGUUUCAGAUAUUACAGCAGUUAUAUCAGGUGGAUGAGAAAUCACCGCCUGUUCCAAUGGAAAACAAUUUUCGUCGGACAGUUGGCUUGAUGAAUCGCACCGUCCGUACAAACAUAAAGACUGCUGGUAAGCGAAAAACUGGUUGUAACCAUGGUGUGGUAACGAAUUAUAAAAUAAACGACAGAUUUCGACAUUAGACAAAUAUUUGACAUGAUAUCAGCGUGGGGUGCUUUUGCGUACGAAUAAAUCAUGAUAUGGCGUAACUUCAGUGUCACAGAAAUAUUUUCAUAGCAUCAGCUAUCAUCCUCUAUGCAAGAGAAGUAGAACGGAGCAUCGGUUGUGGAAUGGAACAGGGCUAUAAAGAGAGAACACCAUUUAAUUAUAUAAAAAUAAAGUCGUCUUGGCAAAGAAGACGAGUGUAAAUGUAUACUUUCUGCGUUAUGUUCCUGAUUCACACAAAACCAGAGACUUGUUAUUCUGCUGACUUCGUGGAACCGAGUUAGUCCAUGGCAAGGCUGUGAGAGUACGUAGUUUCUUGACAUCAUUAACAUUUGCUUGUUCCUUUAAGUGGUUGUGGGCAAGCAGCUCAGCAAGUUCAAACAAGAACAUCUGACAUGGGGCACGUCUAGCUUUACAGGAUUGGUUUGACUUGCAAAGCAAAUUGUGUCAAUGGGAAUGCGGCACAUUGUUUAACCCCGUAGGGUGGCGCUAGUGUGAAGGAGGAGCUUGCACCAUUCUUACGCCAAAAAUGAUUGUUUGCGCAACUUCUACAAAGUUGCAGAGUAUUAGUUUCUACCGUAACGCCGUUCUGUCUUUGUUAUGACGUCGUAAUGGUGAGCUGUGAACCAACGUUUGACGUCAAUAAAAUGGCGCCAAGGUCCUACUGCCGGUUGUUUGACAAGUCCUCAUUGUUGAAUUGUUGAUUUCGCGGUCAUGUCUUCCUACAUAUUCCUACCAGCAUGCCUUGAAUCACUUUGCCAAUUACUUUUAUAUUAGUUACCUGAGAAUUCACGACGUAAGAUAAAAGCAAUCCAACAAUCAACACUGUGAAAGGACUGCUGUUUGGAAAUAACGACGAAGCUGGGAAACGUGUAGCAAUAGGGUACAUAUGACAAUUUUGUCGUGGUGUAAUAAAAAUGAAUUUAUUAAGCUUUGUUUGAGAGUAUAGGCACGAAUUUCACCCUCAGUUAUAAAUAAAAUCAUAUCUGCUUGUAAUUCCUACCAUCCUGGACAACAUUUCUACUGGUAAAUAGAAAACGUUUAACUUCAGUGAUUGAACCCCAUGUGCAUUAUUGAGAACGCUGUUACUAUGAAAUCAAAAUGUCCAUUGAUCAUUAUGUGUAUUUUUGAGAAUCAACACGUUCAACGAUCAAUAAUGUGUAUGUCGGAAUCGGAAUGUCGGUUGUACAUUACUGAUGUACAUUAUUUAGAAUUAAUGCUUUCGUUGAUCAUUAAUGUACAUAUAUACAUAAAAGAUAUAACCACAAA